Molecule: ribosomal RNA, 362 nt
Filed under: Chaetoceros sp. RCC5506
Lineage: Eukaryota; Bacillariophyta; Thalassiosirophyceae; Chaetocerotales; Chaetocerotaceae
Description: SSU rRNA
Rfam family: Eukaryotic small subunit ribosomal RNA
Source: RNAcentral
UCGCAUUUCUGGCGAGAGGAAUUGGUCCGACAUUUAUUGUGGGUACUCGAUUCUCUCUCGCCAUCCUUGAGUGGUCCGUUCUGGCAUUUAGUUGUCGGAGCGUCAGCCGCUCAUCGUUUACUGUGAGAAAAUUAGAGUGUUCAAAGCAGGCUUAUGCCGUUGAAUAUAUUAGCAUGGAAUAAUAAGAUAGGACCUCGGUGCUAUUUUGUUGGUUUGCGCACAGAGGUAAUGAUGAACAGGGACAGUUGGGGGUAUUUGUAUUUCGUUGUCAGAGGUGAAAUUCUUAGAUUUACGAAAGACAAACUACUGCGAAAGCAUUUACCAAGGAUGUUUUCAUUGAUCAAGAACGAAAGUAUGGGGAU